Molecule: long non-coding RNA, 797 nt
Filed under: Equus caballus (horse)
Lineage: Eukaryota; Metazoa; Chordata; Mammalia; Perissodactyla; Equidae
Description: lncRNA (ENSECAG00000049477.1)
Source: RNAcentral
AACGGCUUGUCUCAGAUUUUCCUAUCAGCAGAUGGAAGCAAGUCCUGACAUAGAAUUAAGUGGAUGGGCUCUAAUAGGAGGGAAGAGAGAGAGAAGAGUCCAGAGUUGCAUCAUUGGUUGGGGAGAACGAGCUCAAGAGAAUGUCAGAGUGCAGCACUGCACACAAUCAAGGCCGAAGCCAGUACACCAUGGGGAGUCAGGAAAAGGAGGUUGGGAGCGUAGGCUGGUGAGAUGGAGAACAAAGGCUAAGGAGGCACUUGACCUUGUCCUAAUUUUGCCUACACUGCAUUUGUGGAAAGAUUUCUGAGAGAAUAAGACCCAGAUAAAUUAGUAGAAUGAGAGGAAUCUUAUCUUAAGAAAAAAGAAGUUAUAGUCAUUCUCACAUAAUAAAAUAUGAGGAGAGAAAAGAGGAUUAAAAGUGAUAUUGCAUUUCUCAAGAGGAAAAGAGAAAGGAAGCUGGUUAAAAUUAGUUUGGAUAAAGGAUCAUGUUAGAAAGUAGAAAAAAAUUAACAAGCAAACUAUAGGUCAAAUAGUUAUGUAGGUAAAUUUUGUGUUUAAGACACUCAGAACUAACAUUUUAUUCUUUUUUCCAAAUGAUAUGGCUUCUGUAAUGACUGGAGUUGUGAUUCACCAACAGUCCGUUCACAAGGGCCUCAGAUCCGUGAAUGUGGGAAUGGAACAGAAAGCUAUUUUGCAGGGCUGGCCCCGUGGCCGAGUGGUUAAGUUCGCGCGCUCCGCUGCAGGCGGCCCAGUGUUUCGUUGGUUUGAAUCCUGGGCGCGGACAUGACACAGCUCAU